CCUACGGGAGGCAGCAGUGGGGAAUAUUGCUCAAUGGGGGAAACCCUGAAGCAGCAACGCCGCGUGGAGGAUGAAGGUUUUAGGAUUGUAAACUCCUUUUGUUAGAGAAGUUUAUGACGGUACCUAUCGAAUAAGCACCGGCUAACUCCGUGCCAGCAGCCGCGGUAAUACGGAGGGUGCAAGCGUUAUUCGGAUUGACUGGGCGUAAAGCGUGCGUAGGCGGGGUAAUAAGUCAGAUGUGAAAUCCUGUAGCUUAACUAUAGAACUGCAUUUGAAACUGUUAGGCUGGAGUGUGGGAGAGGUAGGCGGAAUUCGUGGUGUAGGGGUAAAAUGCGUAGAGAUCACGAAGAAUACUCAUUGCGAAGGCGACCUGCUGGAACAUUACUGACGCUGAUGCACGAAAGCGUGGGGAGCAAACAGGAUUAGAUACCCGUGUAGUC
RNAcentral lists this ribosomal RNA (440 nucleotides) under uncultured bacterium. RNAcentral's name for it is "partial 16S ribosomal RNA". It matches the Rfam family "Bacterial small subunit ribosomal RNA", at positions 338 to 795 of the family's 1533-position model. The record is from RNAcentral.